Molecule: long non-coding RNA, 811 nt
Organism: Coregonus clupeaformis (lake whitefish)
Lineage: Eukaryota; Metazoa; Chordata; Actinopteri; Salmoniformes; Salmonidae
Exons: 3
Source: RefSeq, a predicted model, not a curated record
GAAGCUUUUUCAACAACAACAUGACUCAUUAGCUGCCUCGGUAUCUUGCUAGAAAACAUAAAACCAAAACAUCGGGGAUCUUGGAACCAUUUUGUGAAUAUUAACCUCAGUGUUUUAGACGCACUGUGUAUUUACUCCAUUUCUUAUAUAUGUUGUUAGUCAAGCUAGCUGGUUAAGAUAGCGUCUAGCCGAGUGCUAGGCUAUCGCUAAUUAACAAGCAAGCUAGGUAGCUAGCUAACAUCCACAACCAUGAGCUCAAUAAGCUACUCGCCUCCUACUAAAGAAGAGGUCCGCUGGACGGAGAAAGAAGCUCUGGGACUGAACAUUGUCGUGAAAGAGGAAGAGGAGGAUAUCACAGUGAAAGAGGAGGAGAUGACUGUCACAGUCAAAGAAGAAGAUAAAGAAGAUUUCGGAAUGAAAGAAGAAGAGGAGGAGAAAGCUAUCACAUUGAAAGAAGAAGAUGUUACAGUGAAAGGAGAGGAAGAAGGUUUUGGAGUAAAUGGGGUGAUGGAUGUUACAGUGAAAGAAGAGGAUGCCGUUUUUGGAGUGAAAGAGGAGGACAUGACUGUCACAGGGAAAGGAGAGGAAGAAGCUUUCAGGGUGAAAGAGGAUAUUUUAGUGAAGGAAGACGAGGACCUUUUUCAAGUGAAAGAGGAGGAGGAGGAAGAAGUUUUGAGAGUGAAAGAGGAGGGGAAUGAAGAGAAGAUGACUGUCACAGUGAAAGGGGAGGAGGAGGAUGAAGAGGAGGAGACUGGAGAUCAGAUUAACACCGAGCUUUCAACAGAAUCUCCAAGGGUGUCUGAGGGCUUGC